UUGUCUUCAUUACCUCAUCCA
RNAcentral lists this non-coding RNA (21 nucleotides) under Arabidopsis thaliana (thale cress). The record is from RNAcentral. Lineage: Eukaryota; Viridiplantae; Streptophyta; Magnoliopsida; Brassicales; Brassicaceae.